ACGCUGGCGGCGUGCCUAAUACAUGCAAGUCGAACGAGAGCGACCGGUGCUUGCACUGGCCAAUCUAGUGGCGAACGGGUGAGUAACACGUGGGUAACCUGCCCAUCAGAGGGGGAUAACAUUCGGAAACGGAUGCUAAAACCGCAUAGGUCUUCGAACCGCAUGGUUUGAAGAGGAAAAGAGGCGCAAGCUUCUGCUGAUGGAUGGACCCGCGGUGCAUUAGCUAGUUGGUGAGGUAACGGCUCACCAAGGCCGUGAUGCAUAGCCGACCUGAGAGGGUGAUCGGCCACAUUGGGACUGAGACACGGCCCAAACUCCUACGGGAGGCAGCAGUAGGGAAUCUUCCGCAAUGGACGCAAGUCUGACGGAGCAACGCCGCGUGAGUGAAGAAGGUUUUCGGAUCGUAAAACUCUGUUGUUAGAGAAGAACAAGUGCUAGAGUAACUGUUAGCGCCUUGACGGUAUCUAACCAGAAAGCCACGGCUAACUACGUGCCAGCAGCCGCGGUAAUACGUAGGUGGCAAGCGUUGUCCGGAUUUAUUGGGCGUAAAGCGAGCGCAGGCGGUUCCUUAAGUCUGAUGUGAAAGCCCCCGGCUCAACCGGGGAGGGUCAUUGGAAACUGGGGAACUUGAGUGCAGAAGAGGAGAGUGGAAUUCCAUGUGUAGCGGUGAAAUGCGUAGAUAUAUGGAGGAACACCAGUGGCGAAGGCGACUCUCUGGUCUGUAACUGACGCUGAGGCUCGAAAGCAUGGGUAGCAAACAGGAUUAGAUACCCUGGUAGUCCACGCCGUAAACGAUGAGUGCUAAGUGUUGGAGGGUUUCCGCCCUUCAGUGCUGCAGUUAACGCAUUAAGCACUCCGCCUGGGGAGUACGACCGCAAGGUUGAAACUCAAAGGAAUUGACGGGGACCCG
This 910-nucleotide ribosomal RNA is filed under the name uncultured bacterium. Its description in RNAcentral is "bacterial SSU rRNA". It matches the Rfam family "Bacterial small subunit ribosomal RNA", at positions 33 to 923 of the family's 1533-position model. The record is from RNAcentral.